RNAcentral lists this ribosomal RNA (300 nucleotides) under uncultured Kordiimonas sp. RNAcentral describes it as "bacterial SSU rRNA". It matches the Rfam family "Bacterial small subunit ribosomal RNA", at positions 496 to 795 of the family's 1533-position model. Lineage: Bacteria; Pseudomonadati; Pseudomonadota; Alphaproteobacteria; Kordiimonadales; Kordiimonadaceae. The record is from RNAcentral.
AGGAACGAGGUGUAGGCGUGCGUGGUAGGACGAUGGAGGCAAGCGUUGUUUGGAUGUAAGUGGCGUGAAGGGGGGUUAGGGGGCUUGGUAAGUGUCGUGUGAAAUCUCCCGGCUGAACCGGGAGGGUGCGUGGGAAGCUGGGGGGCUAGAGUGCGGGAUGGGAGAGUGGAAUUCCUGGUGGAGCGGGGAAAUGCGUAGAUAUCAGGAGGAAUACCUGUGGUGUAGACGGCUCUCUGGACCGUAACUGACGCUGAAACACGAAAGCGUGGGUAGCAAACAGGAUUAGAUACCCCAGUAGUC